Molecule: ribosomal RNA, 481 nt
Filed under: uncultured bacterium
Lineage: Bacteria
Description: partial 16S ribosomal RNA
Rfam family: Bacterial small subunit ribosomal RNA
Source: RNAcentral
UUGAACGCUGGCGGCAUGCUUUACACAUGCAAGUCGAACGGUAACAGGUCUUCGGAUGCUGACGAGUGGCGAACGGGUGAGUAAUACAUCGGAACGUGCCUAGUAGUGGGGGAUAACUACUCGAAAGAGUAGCUAAUACCGCAUGAGAUCUACGGAUGAAAGCAGGGGACCUUCGGGCCUUGUGCUACUAGAGCGGCUGAUGGCAGAUUAGGUAGUUGGUGGGGUAAAGGCUUACCAAGCCUGCGAUCUGUAGCUGGUCUGAGAGGACGACCAGCCACACUGGGACAGAGACACGACCAAGACUCCUGCGGGAGGCAGCAGUGGGGACUUUUGGACGAUGGGCGAAAGCGUGAGCGGACAAUGCCGCGAGAAGGAUGAAGGCCCUGGGGUUGUAGACUGCUUGUGUAAGGAACGAAAAGCCUGGGGCGGAAUGCCCCGGGUCAUGACGGUACCGUAAGAAUAAGCACCGGCUAACUACGUG